CGGGACGUGGCGCAGCCUGGUAGCGCACCUGCUUUGGGAGCAGGGGGUCGCCGGUUCGAAUCCGGCCGUCCCGACCA
RNAcentral lists this transfer RNA (77 nucleotides) under Actinomycetota bacterium. Its description in RNAcentral is "Actinobacteria bacterium tRNA-Pro". It matches the Rfam family "tRNA". From Rfam's summary of the family: Transfer RNA (tRNA) molecules are approximately 80 nucleotides in length. The record is from RNAcentral. Lineage: Bacteria; Bacillati; Actinomycetota.